Molecule: transfer RNA, 71 nt
Filed under: Toxocara canis (dog roundworm)
Lineage: Eukaryota; Metazoa; Nematoda; Chromadorea; Rhabditida; Toxocaridae
Rfam family: tRNA
About the family: Transfer RNA (tRNA) molecules are approximately 80 nucleotides in length. Their secondary structure includes four short double-helical elements and three loops (D, anti-codon, and T loops). Further hydrogen bonds mediate the characteristic L-shaped molecular structure. tRNAs have two regions of fundamental functional importance: the anti-codon, which is responsible for specific mRNA codon recognition, and the 3' end, to which the tRNAs corresponding amino acid is attached (by aminoacyl-tRNA synthetases). tRNAs cope with the degeneracy of the genetic code in two manners: having more than one tRNA (with a specific anti-codon) for a particular amino acid; and 'wobble' base-pairing, i.e. permitting non-standard base-pairing at the 3rd anti-codon position.
Source: Rfam by way of RNAcentral
GCGGCAAUAGCUCAGUGGUAGAGCCCCGCUUCGCGUGCGGGGAAACCCGGGUUUGAUUCCCGGCUGCUCCC